RNAcentral lists this long non-coding RNA (367 nucleotides) under Citrus x clementina. Its description in RNAcentral is "Citrus clementina (C. clementina) long non-coding RNA (CCLE_LNC000357)". The record is from RNAcentral. Lineage: Eukaryota; Viridiplantae; Streptophyta; Magnoliopsida; Sapindales; Rutaceae.
GCCAAUAGCUCUACUCUUUAAGAGGAUGUUAGAGCUUAGAAGCUGCAGGCGGGUCAACCUCUUGUGGACCUCGGCCGAAACUCACGACAAAAACAAGGCUUUUGCAAAUAACGGCAAAAAAUUCAAGAUUUAAUUUCCCAUUAUGUUUGGUUCCCUACGAGCAUUAAUACCAAUAAGCUUCCAUUUUCCUAAAACUAUAGUUCCAAUUAGUGUCUGAUUUGGAUUCUAAAAGCUAAAAGAGAGAUAAAUUAGCAUUUUAAGAAAGAGAUUUUUCUCCUUUUAAGUGAGACUUAUUAAUGACAACCUAUAUUCAUUCUUUUUUCCACUUUUCCGUAAUGGAGAAAAUUUCCUAAAUUUUACUUGCUUG